RNAcentral lists this long non-coding RNA (9587 nucleotides) under Marmota monax (woodchuck). The record is from RNAcentral. Lineage: Eukaryota; Metazoa; Chordata; Mammalia; Rodentia; Sciuridae.
GAGAGGGAGAGGGAGGGGGGAGAGAGAGAGGGAGGGAGAGAGGGAGAGAGAGGGGGAGAGAGAGGGGGAGAGAGGGAGAGGGAGAGGGAUCUUCAAGGACAAUAUAUAACCCCCAAAAGCACUCCCCGGGGACCCCCUCCUGUGGCCACACCUACUUGCCCACAGUUACCACCCAGUUAACCCUAUCAAGGAAUUAAUGCCCUGACCAGGUCAAGGCUCUCACAGCCCCGUCAUUUCACCUCUAAGCCUUCUUGCAUUGUCUCACAUAUGAGCUUUGGGGGACACCUCACAUCUAAACCAUAACAGAGAGUUUGAUCCAUUUGUGCUCUUGGUGUGGUCCUAGGGUCCGAACCAUGGGCUUCACAGGCAGUAGGCACACUCUAUACCACUGACCUCCCACCCCAGCUGACCUGUCAACAGCACAGGUCUGAAGUGCUUGGGUCUACUUACACUUAUUUAUUUCAAAAUUUGUGACAAUGAGAAAAAAACUCAUGAACCACAUAGCUUAGAAAUAAUAAAAAAUUAAGAAAAAGUUACACCUGUCAUGAAUGCAUGAAAUAUAUGUCGAUAUGUCCACUUUAUCACUUAUUGCCACAAAGUAGAUACACAUCUAUUAUAAAAAGUUAAAAAUCACUCCUACAAACUCUUACAGAUCACACUUGGUGCUGUUGAAGUCAGUAAAUAUGUAUAUAUACACAAUGGAAUAUCACUCAGCCAUAAAGAAGAAUGAAAUAAUGGCAUUAGCUGGUAAAUGGGUGGAACUGGAGACUAUCAUGCUAAGUGAAAUAAGCCAAUCCCCAAAUCAAGGCAGAAUACUCUGUCUGAUAUGUGGGUGAGACUCACGAUAAGCAGGGUGGGAGGAGGAAUGGAAGUUCACUGGAUCAGGCCAAGGGGAAGGGAGGGAAGGAGGGGAAUGGGAAUGGGAAAGACAGUAGAAUGAAUGAGACACCCCUUUCCUGUGUUCAUGUGAACCUCACACCGUGCCUCUACCCAUAGCACCUCCAUGGAGCUGGGGGAGGAGGAUAGGAGCUGGACGUGGCAACCAGACCCUCAUCACGGAGGGACCCUUGUGACUUUCAGGAAGAGGGCAAAUGAGAGUCCCAUGUCUGUGGGAGCUCUCCAGGAACACUCCCUGUGCGGGCAGGUGUAGCUCCGCACCCCUAGGAACAGCCCUCGUCAGGAUCCCCUCAGGAGGCUCCGCCCUGAACAGCGUGAGCAGGCUGAGGCCAGGUGGCGUUCUGCCUUGCCACUGCCCUGGGGCACCUCUGGGGAGCCUGCAGGAGGGGAGCAACUAUACCACCCACUUCUGGGGUUCUGUGGGUCUUCCCACCCCCCCGGCACUGUCCGGCACCGCGUGGCUGGCGGGAGAAGCCAGGAGGGGAGAGGCUGGGCCCUGGCGACUUCACCAGAGACCUCUCUGGCCUUUCUGCUCUGUUUGUGAUUCUGCAGCCGACUCUUGCACUGAGUGCAUCUUAUUGUGGAUGAUCGUAUGCUGACCGUGAUAGUGAUAAGGACCCAGAAGGAUCUUUAGAAAUGUAGAACCUAUAGGGAAGUUUUAAAAAAUAGCCCUCAAAAGAACAUAAAGUCCAACUAUGAUUCUUUUUGUCAAUAAGUAUAUAAUAGGAUUAUUGAUUUUAAAAAAGCCUAAAAUUGAUGAGGAUAGAAAUCACUGAAGAGAGUGUGAUAGAUAUAAAGGAGAAAGGCAAAAUGGAUCAUUUCUGAUUAUUAAAAACUUGUGUGUGUUUAAAAGGUCACGAUGUUUGUAUUCCACAGUCAAGUAACAGUUUUAUCUUAAAGUUCUCAGGAUACCAGACAGAAAUCUGACCUUUUGUAACUAUUUAACUUAUGAGGCAUUUUAGGUGUCCAUUCAGAAAUGCACAAAGGCGGGAAGUUCUACAUUUUUAAAUGAGAUGCUCAAGCCAGAAAGAUGGAGGACUCUGCCCAGGCUCUGGGCUGAGCCCUGCGGGUCGUGGCGUGUGGUGCUGGUCCCUUGCCAGCGCCUGCAGCCCCCUGAGGGCAGCCAGUCACCCUGCCGUGUGUAGGGCAUGAGAUAAGGGCCCGCGGUCAUGUCGCCGACAGAGGAAUGCCGGCUUUUCUGAGGUGUCCUGGGGUGCCAGGAGAUGUGUCCAGAGGUCAUUUCCAGGAAGAGCGUCACUUCUGGGGCGUGCAGAGGGGUAGGAAGGGUGGCCAGAGGGGCCGCAGCGCCCGCAGAGAGAAGCCCAAGACCAGGGCUCACCCUGCGGCGGGGCGCUGGCCCCUGUCGACCUGGAGUCCGUGAGUGCAGGGUGCGGGCACCGAGUGCAGGCUCCGCCUCCGCCUGGCCUCUCCAAGACGCGCAGAGGACAGUCAGAGGGCCCCUCGGCUCUACUCUGGGAAUUAGGGGUGACUCCCCCAAGGACCCCAUUUCUUCCGUUACUGUCCUCCAGCAGCCACAUAAUGGGGGCAUCUAUCCACCAGCACAGGAAAGAUGGACAGCGACUGGCCCUUACAGAGGUGUUUCUUACAUCUCUAUCUAGAUAAAAUGUUAAAUCUUAUUUAUUUUCUAUUGAUUUUAGACUUACACAAAAUUAACAAAAUCAGUAUGCGAUUCCCCACAUAUUCCUUGCUAGCAUGGUGGUCCAGGACCAGGAAAUCAGCUUUGAUAGCAGGACUGCCCGAGGAGGACCCUGAGGUGUGGCCAGCUGCUGCAGGACGCCCCACUGCGGUCCUCUGUCACUCUCCAGCUACUGCAGCCGGCCGCUCUCCCUGCAGUCACAACUUUUCUUUCAUGACCUUGACACAUUUGAAGGGUAUAGGUGACUCUGUCCAGCCCUCUCCCUGGGGCUCUGUCUGGCUCCACGGGGCUGGCCGGGCCUGGGGCUUGUGGUGCCCCUUGAUGGCUGGGCUGAGGCCGUCCCUGCCCUGCUGUCCCAUAAGCAUCUUGGGGGAGAUCUGCUGAGAUGGGGAAAAACUGCUUCUCCCUAGUCUCCCCGCCACCCCAGGUGUCCAGUGGCCCUCCUCGAAGCCUGGCCACUCACCCCGACAUCCAGUGACCUUCCAUGGCUGGCCUGGAGUCCUUGGGGAAGAGCUGUCCUUCUGCCCAGUCAGGCUCUGUGGGGGCGAGGAGAGCCUCCCCCGUUCCUGGGCCCUGGUCUCUGCGUGGGGCGGGGUGUCUUCCUGGUUCUUCUUAGUGGGGGUCAUGCCCUUGGUCCAGUGGGAGGUGGGGCAGGUCUCUAAUUGUGGGUGUGGUGCCAUCCCCUGUACCAGACCCCUGAGGGACUCCGAGUUUCAGCUGCCUUGGUCACUCCAAGGCCAUCUCAGUUUUAUUCUUUACUGUCUGGGUGAGAAGGAGUGGUCACCCACACCCAGGUGGCCCCCAGGUUUCUGGACCUGCCUUUUCAUCUCUCCUUCAAAACAGCCACUCCCUCCCGAGCGCACCUCCUGUCAACAGCAGUGACAGUGACCAGUGUCGCCGGCGUCCUGUUCUCUGACCACUUCUAGAGCUCUGCGCUCCAGAGGGGCAUGGUGGCCUUCGCACCCACCCAGAGGACUUCCAGGAAGCUUGGGUGUCCUGCAUGCCGCCUUCCUGUGGGCAAGAUGCCUGCGCUUCCGUGGCCUCCAGCCGGCAGGACUCGGCCUGGCAGGACUGUUGGUCAGGCCGCACUCCACCACCAGUCCUGGACCAGUUAGGGCCUCAGGGACAAGUCCGUGGCCCAGGUGACAAAAGCGGGUUCUCCCACAGGCUGUGUGUUCCACAGAAGGCCCUGCUCCCAGCAGAGUGGACGGAGGGCUGCUGCAUGUCCCCAGGUCCCCUCCAUCAUGGGUGUGCCUGCACCUCACUGCCAGCUCCUGACUGGGUGGCCUUUCUUCUGUCUCCUCCUCCUCCUCCUUGAGGUGUGGUGCCCAGGCCCAGCACACACUCGGCAGACGCUGCGCCACCGAGCUGCCUCGCCAGCCCUUGCUAAGCACCCAGAGUGGCUCUGAGUGGGCUCCUGUCUGUCUCUGGAGUGGCUGGGGUCCAGGGGUGUGCCCACUGUGCCUGGCUGGGCAGCUUUAACGGGUAGCAUUGUUGUUAACUCACCUUCCAGUUUUUAGUACGGUUUCCCGUGUGAACCGUGAGCUAUUAUAAAGUGCAAUUCAUGAUCUCUAAAUAUGUAGGUGUCUCUAGUCACACUUUGUCAUCUGAUUUCAAUGGCAUUAAAAUAGAUUCAAUAUGAUCUCAGCAGUGAGUUUGUUUAAAUGUGCUUUAUAGUUUAUAUGAUCUCUUUUGGCAAAUCUUCCAUGUCUGUCUAAAAGAACGUGCCUUCUACCAUUACUGGGUCCAAUAUUCUAUGUACCGAGUGUGUGAAUGCCAUGUAAAAUCUGUGAUCCUCACUGAUUUGUGAUCUGUCUGUUAGCUGAGAUGGUUUCAAGCUCCAUUGUGAUCGUAGGUCAACUGUUUCUACUUGUAGUCUCUGUAUAUAUUCUGAAGCCCCAUUGCUAGGGACAUACAGUUUUGUGUUUUAUUUUGAUGAAUUGAUCCCCAAAUCAUUUGAAACAUUUUUUAAAAAAUGCGUUCUAGUUGUCACUGGACGUGAUUUUUAUUUAUAUGUAUGUGGUGCUGAAACCUCACACGCCGUGGGCAGAGCCCUCCCACUGAGCCAGCCGCCCGAGACCUUCUCCUCCAGUCAGUGACACUGUCACCUUCAAGUCCCUGGCCUGAGGUCAACAUAGCACCGAUCGUCCAAUAGUAAAUACCCGUCUCCUCGUCGCUGUCAUUCCUGUGUCUUUAGCCUUAGGAUAUGUUCCUUAUAAGCAACGAAUAGUUUUUAAAACUCUGGUCUGACGCCAGCCCUCUUUACCCCAGCUCCUCUGGGGUCCCAACGCCUUUGGGUGCUCCCCUCUUACCCGUCUGCCUGCUGGGCCCGGUCCUCCCCUCUUCUCUUUUCUUUUUGAGUCGGCGCCUUGCUGUGGGGCCUGGCGCAGUGCCCACUAUCCCACUCCUCAGGAUAUAUGCAAAGGACUUAAAAUUAGCAUACUAUAGUGACUUGGCCACAUCAAUGUUUAUAGCAGCUCAAUUCACAAUAGCUAAACUAUGGAACCAACAACCUAGGUGCCCUUCAACAGAUGAAUGGAUAAAGACAAUGUGGUACAUAUACACCAUGGAAUAUUACUCUGCUGUAAAGAAUGAAAUUAUAGCAUGGUAUGUCGGUAAAUGGAUGAAACUGGAGGCUAUCAUGAUAAGUGAAAUAAGCCAGUCCCAAGGAACCGAAGGCUGAAUGUUCUCUCUGAUAUGCUGAAGCUGACUCACAUAGGUGGGGUGGGGUGGGUGGAGGCUCACCAGAUUGGAAGGGGGAGGGGGCAAUGGGAAUGGGAAAGACAGUAGAACAAAUCAGAUAUCACUUUCCUGUGUUCAUAUAUGAACACAUGACCAGCAGCUCCACACCAAGUACAGCCACAAGAAUGGGAAGUCAUACCCCGUGUGUGUGUGUGUGUGUGUGUGUGUGUGUGAGGAGAGAGAGAGAGAGAGAGAGAGAGAGAGAGAGAGAGAGAGAGAGAGAGAGAGACACGUCAGAAUGCAUUCUCCUGGGGCUGGGCUGUGGCUCAGUGGUGGAGCUCUCACCACCUAAGUGUGAGGCCCUGGGUUUGAUCCCAGCACCACAUAAAAACAAAUAAAGGCCUUGAGUCAAUACAUAACUAAAAAAAAAUUCUAAAAAAUACAUUCUACUGUCACAUGUAACUAAAAAGAACCAAAGAUUUCUUUAAGCGCCUGGGUCUAGGGACUCCAUGGCUGGCUCUCUGGGUCUGUUUUUUGUCCAACUUUUAUCAUUUCUCAAUCAUGUCUGUUUUCUUCACUUGCCUGAUUAUUUCUGGUGAGCUGAGCACAGUAUGUGGAGCAUCUUGGAGACGCGCUGAAGUCGUGGACAGGUCAUCUUUCUCCUGGGGGGUCGGUGCGUCUGGCGGGCAGCAAGGCGGAGGCAGCUCCAGGUGUGGGGCUGGCGCUGGCUCCCGAGGCCUGCUUUAUUUCUUGAAGGGUGCAGCCCUUCAGACGCCUACCAGAGCAGGGUUGCUGGGUAAAAGGCAGGACACUUUUUUUGGUGUAUGUCCUCAGUCCUGUCCUGUCUUUAGUUAGCUAAUUGUGGCCACCCUAACCCAAGCCCUGCCGAGCCCUCUGAGUACAGACGCGUCCGCUUGGCCCCAGGCUCUGCCUUGCAAGCUGUUCCAUCUGUUGGCCACAGGACCUGGGCUGCCUCGGGUUCCUUCUCCAGGCCCUGACUCUUCACUUCGGAGCUCUCCAAGGCCUCAGACUCCGCUCCACCCAGGAUCUGCUCAGGCUACCUGCCGCCCCAGCUUUGGGGACCCGGAUUGGCAGCCUCCUCUGGGUUGCUGUAGGAAGGCCCAGUCCCCGCAGGCCAUCUGCUCUUUUGUGGGGGUACUUGAAUGGCCCGGCUGUACGUGGUGCAGCUGUUCAUGUCUUAUCACCGGCAUAUUUUUUGUCCCUUUUAAGAUUCAUUUCAGGAUUUCCUUUCCCUCCCUCACCUUUUUUUUUUAUAAAGGAAGCAACUACAGAAAGCUUUUAUUUGUUCAAAGUAACCAGUGCUACUGAUGCAAAACAAAAAAACAAAACCCAACAACUCCCCAAUACUACUUUCAAAACCAACAUAUCAAACUUGAUUUUCAUUAGAAUGUAGUUAUUUUUCACACUAGUAAAUCAAAAACCAAGACCCAGAUUUUAUAUAUAUAUAAAAUAUAUAUAUAUAUAUAAAUAAAUAAAACAAUGCAAAUAGUUAUUGAGCUUCAUCUUCUGGACAAGAAUGCCAAGUUAGUCUCUCUUCAUAAAAAGCAAUUACAAUUUGAGGACACUCCAUAUUUGCUUCUUUUGCCAGCACCAAGUCUGCCUCAUCUGAAUCUUUCCAUUUCAUAAGAAACAUCAAUUCUCCACUGCUGUCUGUGGCACCAAUUAUUCGUUCAGGAUCAAGACCUCUGGCAAAGCCUCUUGGUUUGUCAGCAGCAUCUCUUUUCUUCUUUGACUUGCUAUCAUCAGAUUCCCUGUCAGAUAAAGAUUUUCUUUUGGUACCAUAUUUUUCUUGACCAGCUUUUUGAGAAUUAAGAAAUGCUUCAAUUAACUCUGGACAAUCUAAAUUUUCUUCAGGUUCCCAAGUAUUGUCAGCAUCUGUAAAUCCUUUCCACUUCAGAAAGUAUUCCACCUUUCCAUUUACUACACGUCGGUCUAGGACUUUUUCUACCACAAAUUCUUCAGGCUCUGCCUCUUCAACUUUUUUACUCUUUCCAUUCUGUUUCUUUCCCAUUUUUUUGCAAUGUAGUCUUAUUGGAGGCCAUUUUUUUAAAUUGCAGACUUGAAGAGCUACAAUCACCACCUCCGAUGCUCCAGGUCGCGGAUCUGCAGCGUCUCCAGCCCUGCGCGCCUCCCUCCCUCACCUUUUUGUUUUGAGUUUUUCUGUGUUGUUCAGAUGGUUUCUAAACAUCCUCCUGCCUCAGCCUCCCGAGUAGCAGGGACCUCAAUGCACACCUCCGUGCCUGGCUUCAUUGCAGGAUUUUCUUAUUCUGAGAAUUCACCUUUGUUCAUGGUCAGUCCCACGCCCUGGAGACACUGAUCCCUCCAGGGCUUUGCUGGCCCAGUCUCCUGUGCCUCCUGUGGUCUGUUCUUAGUUUCCUUCUUCCUAGGGCUCUCGGUGGCCUGCCCCCCCCCCCCCCCCAAGCUGGGCUGCACCCUCCUUUCCCUCUGGCUGCUCCUUCCUCACUGUCAGGUCUGUAGGGCCCCUUUGUCUCCUUUGCUGAUUCGGUUCCUACCUCAUCUGCAGGGUUAGCCCCUCAGACCCCUCUAAGGUGACCCCAGCCAGGGGCAGCCACUCUUUAGCUGGGGCUUGGGUCUGCCCUCUUCUGAGUCCAGUGGGGUUGUGGCUGGAGACCGCCUGGCGUCUGUAUUGUGUCUGUGGCUGCUGGGCCCCUCCUGGGGUGGGCUCACGGGCCUUCUCUGCUUGGGGCCUUCUCUGCUCGGGGCUGUUUUCGUCACCUGUCCUCGGGGUUUCCUGGCAGCCUUUCCAGACGGUGACUUUCCAAGCUGUGGGCUCACUGAGAACUUUCAGGGUGCAGGGAGGUGGGGGACUUCCUGCCGAGGCCGGGCACUCUUCCUCCUGGCUCCCUCUUGACCCUGCUUGCGGGGUCUGUGCUGCUGGCUCGCUCAGGCUUGGCUGCUGGACUGAGAACGUGUGGGUCCUCUGGGGGCAGAUGGUGCAGGCUCCAUUCAUCUGGCAGAUCCGGAGCUAGGGGCACCCGCAAGGAUUAGGUGCAUGUGAAUCCUCUCCCCACGGCCAGGGCCCACCCCGGAGGUCCAAGCGGCCACCCGCAGCCAGUGUGCCUUCCGGCCGCACCUGGCGAGGAAGGCGCUGGCCCUGCGCAGGCAGGAGAGGCAGGAGUACCUGGAGCGGAUGGAGAAGCUGCAGAGGGAGGUGAGCGCGGGCGCCCGCCCAGGAUCCGGGCGUGGGGGCGGCGGCGAGGCGGGGCUUGGGCGGGGUCCGCCCGGGGCUGAGGGCGCAGUGACCCCCAGGGCCACGCCCCGCAGGCCUACCUGGCCUCGGUGCGCCGGGAGCAGGAGGCCGCGCGGCGGCAGCGGCAGCAGGAGGAGGUGGCGCAGCGCGAGCGGCAGGAGGAGCUGCGGCGCCGCGGUCGCCUGCUGGACGCCGCCUUCGAGGGCGACGUGGGCGAGAUCCGGGCCGUCCUGCAGGAGGUCGGUGGGGCGCGGCGGGCGCGGCGGCGCGAGGUGACGCGAGGUGACGCGAGGUGAGGCGCUGCGGGCCGGCGCAGGUGGAGCAGCUGCUGACCCGCGAGGGCGUGGGCCACGACGAGGAGGGCCGCGCGCUGCGGCUGCGGCGACGCGUGGCCACGGUGGAGUGCGAGGACGGCCACGGGAACACGCCGCUGUCCGAGGCGGCCGCGGGCGGGCAGGCCACGGUCAUCCAGCUGCUGGCCGAGCUGGGCGCCAGCCCCAACAGCAAGGUGCGCCCGCGGGCUGGGCAGCGUGGGGUCGUGGGUCCCAGCGCAGCCGCCGGCGGCUCAUGGGGCCCCUCGCGCAGGGCGCCUUCGGCAGAACGCCGCUGUACCGGGCAGCCUUCGGGGGCCACCUGGAGGCCGUGGAGCUGCUUCUGAAGCUCGGAGCCGACCCCCGAGUGUACGCAGACGACGGGAGCACCCCGGAGCAGGUGUGGGGCGGGCGCCGACUCAAAAUCUCCCUUGUCGCCCCACGGUGGCGCACGCCUGUAAUCCCAGCGACUUGGGAGGCUGAGGCAGGAGGACCGUAAGAUCAAGGCCAGCCUCAGCAAAUAAGCAAGGCCCUGUCUCCAAAUAAUAAAUAAGAAGGGCUGUGGAUGUGGCGUAGUGGCAAAGCGCCCUGGGUUCAAUUCCCAGCACCAAACAAAAAAUAAAAAUCCUCCCUUGUUGCCUGCAGUCAAGGUGACAGCCACCUGAGUUGUUUGGGUGACUUCCGUGCAGGUUUGCCUUAUUACCCUCCAUGCUCCUGUACCCGUACCCGGAGGCAGUGUUAGAGCCCUAGAUGAGGAGGCUGAGGCUGGCCACUCCAGGGGCUGGCUGGAGUUCCCACGGUGCUGGCG